This 88-nucleotide transfer RNA is filed under the name Blastochloris viridis. RNAcentral's name for it is "tRNA-Ser". It matches the Rfam family "tRNA". From Rfam's summary of the family: Transfer RNA (tRNA) molecules are approximately 80 nucleotides in length. Their secondary structure includes four short double-helical elements and three loops (D, anti-codon, and T loops). Further hydrogen bonds mediate the characteristic L-shaped molecular structure. tRNAs have two regions of fundamental functional importance: the anti-codon, which is responsible for specific mRNA codon recognition, and the 3' end, to which the tRNAs corresponding amino acid is attached (by aminoacyl-tRNA synthetases). tRNAs cope with the degeneracy of the genetic code in two manners: having more than one tRNA (with a specific anti-codon) for a particular amino acid; and 'wobble' base-pairing, i.e. permitting non-standard base-pairing at the 3rd anti-codon position. Lineage: Bacteria; Pseudomonadati; Pseudomonadota; Alphaproteobacteria; Hyphomicrobiales; Blastochloridaceae. The record is from RNAcentral.
GGAAGCGUGUCAGAGCGGUUUAAUGUGCUGGUCUCGAAAACCGGUUGGGAGCAAUCCCUCGGGGGUUCGAAUCCCCCCGCUUCCGCCA